UUGUAGGACACUCUAUACGGAGUUACAAAGGACGACAUUAGACGAAUCAUCUGGAAAGAUGAAUCAAAGAAGGUAAUAAUCCUGUAGUCGAAAAUGUUGUCUCUCUUGAGUGGAUCCUGAGUACGACGGAGCACGUGAAAUUCCGUCGGAAUCAGGGAGGACCAUCUCCUAAGGCUAAAUACUCUCUAGUGACCGAUAGUGAACCAGUACCGUGAGGGAAAGGUGAAAAGCACCCCGGAAGGGGAGUGAAAUAGAACCUGAAACCGUGUGCUUACAAGUAGUCAGAGCCCGUUAAUGGGUGAUGGCGUGCCUUUUGUAGAAUGAACCGGCGAGUUACGAUUUGAUGCAAGGUUAAGCAGUAAAUGUGGAGCCGUAGCGAAAGCGAGUCUGAAUAGGGCGUUUAGUAUUUGGUCGUAGACCCGAAACCAGGUGAUCUACCCUUGGUCAGGUUGAAGUUCAGGUAACACUGAAUGGAGGACCGAACCGACUUACGUUGAAAAGUGAGCGGAUGAACUGAGGGUAGCGGAGAAAUUCCAAUCGAACCUGGAGAUAGCUGGUUCUCUCCGAAAUAGCUUUAGGGCUAGCCUCAAGUGAUGAUUAUUGGAGGUAGAGCACUGUUUGGACGAGGGGCCCCUCUCGGGUUACCGAAUUCAGACAAACUCCGAAUGCCAAUUAAUUUAACUUGGGAGUCAGAACAUGGGUGAUAAGGUCCGUGUUCGAAAGGGAAACAGCCCAGACCACCAGCUAAGGUCCCAAAAUAUAUGUUAAGUGGAAAAGGAUGUGGCGUUGCCCAGACAACUAGGAUGUUGGCUUAGAAGCAGCCAUCAUUUAAAGAGUGCGUAAUAGCUCACUAGUCGAGUGACACUGCGCCGAAAAUGUACCGGGGCUAAACAUAUUACCGAAGCUGUGGAUUGUCCUUUGGACAAUGGUAGGAGAGCGUUCUAAGGGCGUUGAAGCAUGAUCGUAAGGACAUGUGGAGCGCUUAGAAGUGAGAAUGCCGGUGUGAGUAGCGAAAGACGGGUGAGAAUCCCGUCCACCGAUUGACUAAGGUUUCCAGAGGAAGGCUCGUCCGCUCUGGGUUAGUCGGGUCCUAAGCUGAGGCCGACAGGCGUAGGCGAUGGAUAACAGGUUGAUAUUCCUGUACCACCUAUAAUCGU
RNAcentral lists this ribosomal RNA (1157 nucleotides) under Staphylococcus aureus. RNAcentral describes it as "partial 23S ribosomal RNA". It matches the Rfam family "Bacterial large subunit ribosomal RNA", at positions 296 to 1457 of the family's 2925-position model. The record is from RNAcentral. Lineage: Bacteria; Bacillati; Bacillota; Bacilli; Caryophanales; Staphylococcaceae.